GCCCUUGUGGUGUAAUUAUGAGCAUGUCUGGCUGGCAAUCGGAAGGACCAAAAUUCGAAUUCUUGCGAGGGCA
RNAcentral lists this transfer RNA (73 nucleotides) under Stegodyphus mimosarum. It matches the Rfam family "tRNA". From Rfam's summary of the family: Transfer RNA (tRNA) molecules are approximately 80 nucleotides in length. The record is from Rfam by way of RNAcentral. Lineage: Eukaryota; Metazoa; Arthropoda; Arachnida; Araneae; Eresidae.